Molecule: ribosomal RNA, 431 nt
Filed under: uncultured bacterium
Lineage: Bacteria
Description: partial 16S ribosomal RNA
Rfam family: Bacterial small subunit ribosomal RNA
Source: RNAcentral
AACGAACGCUGGCGGCAGGCUUAACACAUGCAAGUCGAGCGCCCCGCACGGGGAGCGGCAGACGGGUGAGUAACGCGUGGGAACGUACCCUUAUCUUCGGGAUAGCUCCGGGAUACUGGAAUUAAUACCGAAUGUGCCCUUUGGGGGAAAGAUUUAUCGGAUAAGGAUCGGGCCGCGUUGGAUUAGCUAGUGGGUGGGGUAAAGGCCUGGCAAGGCGACGAUCCAUAGCUGGUCUGAGAGGAGGAUCAGCCACAUUGGGACUGAGACACGGCCCAAACUGCUACGGGAGGGAGGAGUGGGGAAUGUUGGACGAGGGGGGCAAGUCUGGUCCAGCCAUGCCGGGUGAGUGAGGAAGGGCUUAGGGUUGUAAAGCUCUUUGAGCGGAGAAGAUAAUGACGGUAACCGGAGAAGAAGCCCCGGCUAACUACGUG